RNAcentral lists this non-coding RNA (23 nucleotides) under Limulus polyphemus (Atlantic horseshoe crab). The record is from RNAcentral. RNAcentral also lists the same sequence under 11 other names. Lineage: Eukaryota; Metazoa; Arthropoda; Merostomata; Xiphosura; Limulidae.
AAUGGCACUGGAAGAAUUCACGG